This 460-nucleotide ribosomal RNA is filed under the name uncultured bacterium. Its description in RNAcentral is "partial 16S ribosomal RNA". It matches the Rfam family "Bacterial small subunit ribosomal RNA", at positions 338 to 795 of the family's 1533-position model. The record is from RNAcentral.
CCUACGGGCGGCAGCAGUGAGGAAUAUUGGUCAAUGGACGAGAGUCUGAACCAGCCAAGUAGCGUGAAGGAUGACUGCCCUAUGGGUUGUAAACUUCUUUUAUAUGGGAAUAAAAUGUUCCACGUGUGGGAUUUUGUAUGUCCCCUAUGAAUAAGGAUCGGCUAACUCCGUGCCAGCAGCCGCGGUAAUACGGAGGAUCCGAGCGUUAUCCGGAUUUAUUGGGUGUAAAGGGAGAGUAGGUGGAUUGUUAAGUCAGUUGUGAAAGUUUUCGGCUCAACCGUAAAAUUGCAGUUGAAACUGGCAGGCUUGAGUACAGGAGAGGUGGGCGGAAUUCGUGGUGUAGCGGUGAAAUGCGUAGAUAUUACGAAGAGCUCCGAUUGCGAAGGCAGUUCACUGGACUGCAACUGACACUGAGGCACGAAAGUGUGGGGAUCAAACAGGAUUAGAUACCCGAGUAGUC